This is a microRNA precursor of Lepisosteus oculatus (spotted gar), 86 nucleotides long. Ensembl annotates it as microRNA 200a. Its record names the gene MIR200A. The record is from Ensembl. NCBI's taxonomy places the organism in Eukaryota, Metazoa, Chordata, Actinopteri, Semionotiformes, Lepisosteidae.
AUGGCUCUCGAUGGACAUCUUACUAGACAGUGCUGGAUUGUACACCUGGGUUCUAACACUGUCUGGUAACGAUGUUUACAGGGUGA